Zootoca vivipara (common lizard) is the source of this 7241-nucleotide non-coding RNA. Lineage: Eukaryota; Metazoa; Chordata; Lepidosauria; Squamata; Lacertidae. The record is from RefSeq and is a predicted model, not a curated record.
GAAAAGCCCCCAAAAGAGGAAGGCGGGGGGGGGGCAAGGAGAAAGAGCGACCGAGACGGGCUUGCCACACCCAGGGCGAAACUGGCGCGAGCGAGCGCACCUGGGCGGAGGAAGGGCCGCGUUGGCGCAGAGGAUCUGGUCGAAAAGUUCCCAGGUGCUCGCCCUCGAACCGCUCCUUAACCCAGCCCGGCCGGACUUUUACUUCGGCCAGCAUUAUUAUUAUUAUUAUUAUUAUUGUUAUUAUUAUUAUUAGUUCAGUGAUAUCCGCGGAACUCGGUGGGGGACUUCCUUGCGAGCAAGCGUGACCCGGAUCGGGCUGCAAGAACUGGGGAGGAAGCAAAAUAUUACCCCUCGGUGGCACGAAUACAGUGUAGCCCCGUGGAUUAACCACGAGGCCAAUAAAGGGGCCAUAUAGAGUUUAACCUUAGGCGCUUCAGAUUUUUAGACUUUUCGGUUUCCUGGGUCAGCCGCGGAUAUUCGCCCGGUGACCUUGGGCCACUCACUCCCUAUUAGUCUUCUCUUCCUCCCGGUGCUUGUUUCUUUUGAGGGGGAAUCCAGGUACAGUACAUAGAAAACCGUGUCGUGAGCCAAGACAUCAUUCAUGCCUUUGCCACAGCCAGGGAAAGGAGCAUUGUGGAUUAUUUGUGCUUUGACGAUUUUCUCCUCAGAAUCAUAAGAGUUGGAAGGGUCAUCCAGUCCAACCCCCUGCAAUGCAAGAAUCUCUUGCGCAAGGAGUACAGCUGGCAAUGAAGGAUUUACCGGUAUGCAGAGACCACAGGAGUUCCACAUGCUUGACUUGAGUUUUGAUUUAGGACAGCAAGGAAUGUGAGUAGAAAGAUGGGGAGGGAACUAGCUCUCCUGGGUACUCGAGAACUCGUGGCAGGAUUGGUUGCCAGACACCUUUUUGGCAUAAGCAAUAAAGUGCUUUGUGGGACGCGGGUGGCGCUGUGGGUUAAACCACAGAGCCUAGGGCUUGCUGAUCAGAAGGUUGGCAGUUCGAAUCCCUGGGACGGGGUGAGCUCCCGUUGCCCGGUCCCUGCUUCUGCCAACCUAGCAGUUCGAACGCAUGCAGUGCAAGUAGAUAAAUAGGUACCAUUCUGACGGGAAGGUAAACAGCAUUUCCGUGCGCUGCUCUGGUUCGCCAGAAGCGGCUUAGUCAUGCUGGCCACAUGACCCAGAAGCUGUACGCAGACUCCCUCGGCCAGUAAAGCGAGAUGAGCGCCGCAACCCCAGAGUUGUCCGCAACUGGACUUAACUGUCAGGGUCCCUUUGCCUUUAAAUAAAGUGCUUAAAGAGCAACAUAUUUGAUUUGUUGUAGCAGAAUCUUUCGUGGACCACAGCCCACUUCAUCAGAUGCAUGAAGCACAGUCUUCAUUUAAGAUGCAUGUACUGUGUAGUGUAAAGCAGGGGUCAACAACCUUUUUCAGCCCUGGGCUGGUCUACCAUCCCUCAGACCAUGUCGUGGGCCAGACUAUAUUUUGAAGAAAAAAAAUGAACUAAUUCCAAUGCCCCACAAAUAACCCAGAGAUGCAUUUUAAAUAAAAGCACACAUUCUGCUUAUGUAAAAACACCAGGCAGGCCCCACAAAUAACCCAGAGAUGCAUUUUAAAUAAAAGCACAAGUUCUACUCAUGUAAAAGCAUGCUGAUUCCUGGACCGUCCGUGGGCCAGAUUUAGAAGGCGAUUGGGCCACAUCCGGCCCACGGGUGAUCUCUGGUGUAAAGGGUAGUGGGAGGGAUGUGUGUACAGGCAGUAUAAAAUACACACACAUGACACAUACAGAGAGAUAACAUAAGAAGAAUCUUCUGAGUAUCUUUCUUCCACCACGGGAGUAACGACAGUCAUCCUCUUUUCGAUGAGGUUUCUGGGACCAGAACAUUAUUCACCACCUCUGCGGGAGGAAGAUAAAUUUAGCAGUUUAUUAGAUCAGAAACAUUCUACUAGUUUCCUGGGAGGAGUGGGCUGGGAUUUGGCUUUUUGAAGAACAAGGAAGGGGGGAGCUGUAUGAGCCCCCUGGAGAGUGCAAACUAUCCACCUGCCUGGGCAUGACAAUGAGUCAUUGAAAUGGACAAAGCUGAGAGAUCCGGCCCUUUCAGAUCUCCUGAGGUUGGUUUGGGGGGGAGCGAGGAGGAAGGGCAGAACAAGGUGGGGAAAGUUAGGAGGGGGAUGGGAGGGAGAGUCACCACUUUUUAAACUGGGAAGAGCUCCUGCGCCUUUAACAGCAACUGCCUGCGAGGCAGAAAAUCAACCCGCUGAGAUUUCCCCAGUCCCUGCGGAUGCAGUGCAAGGAAAACUUUCACCACGUUGAUCUUCUGCCUUGCAUGCAGCUUGUUAGGUCACUGAACCUAGGGAAGCAUGCACACCUAGUUGAGAUCAAGGGAUUUCCCUGUCCUAGGCAAUCUGCUCAUGGCCACUGUAGCUACAUUUUCAUGAUCAUCCUUUGCUGCCCCCUGUGGAACUCUCUCCCUGAACCUUAUGACAGUCUUCGGCAACCAAUGUUCCAGGUUGCAACUCCUAUCAGCCCCAGCCAGCAUGUUAUUAAUUUCUGAAAAGUUGGACUUGCAACAGAAUGUUGCAGCGUGUCCUUUCUCACUGACCUAGGAAUGGUCCUGGUCAGGAUUCCUUGUCAGAACAGAGGCUUUGCUCUCAAACCUGGAAGUUCACAGUUCUUUGUCAGUUGCUCUCAAACCUGGAAGUUCACAGUUCUUUGCUGCUGCUGCUACUACUGCUGUUGUUUCCUCCUCCUCCUCCUCCUUUGCAAAGCUCAACACUUGGAGGCACUUACAGGACCACCUAGGUGUGUAGAAGUUACCCUAAUUUUGGGUGGCUGUUUUGAAAUGGAUAGGCACUGAACCAUCUGGGUUCACUAUUAGAGGGAUUGGUGAUAACAGCAACUUUCUCUGGGGAUUCUGGGCACUUCCCAUUAUAAUAAUAUCUGAUCUUAUAUUGGGCAUUGGUUUCAGAAGCACACACACACAAGCGUGUGUUUGCACACAUACAUAUGGUGUGAUUGCACCUACACUUCAGACAGUAUCACAUUGCUUUUUUUCCUCCCUGAUUCCCCAACUCACAAAUGCGCCUUUAAGUCCUGGAGCACUUAUUUCCGGGUAGUUUCAUAAAUGACUAUUCUGAGUUUCAAUGUGAAGGUAAACACCUUCUAGACAUUUAUGUUUGUCUUGGUUAAAUAUAUAUUCAUUGAUGGUUGUUGUUUUUUGCAAGGAAAUUCUACAAGAUGUUUUUAUAACCUUUGGUCUUAUGGAGGGUUUUUAUUGCUCAUUUUAUUGUUUUCGUUUCCUUUUGUGUAAACAUCACUUCCAAAGCCCGGGCUGAUGUGUAAAUAAACUAAGAAGUGUGGGCUGAGGUGAAAUCAGGCGUCCACAAAGAAAUUAAUGCAAUAUUGGCAUGUGAUGUUCAAUAUGGCUUCUGUCCUGAGCUGGGUUCCUAUUUCGUAGGGAUGUCCAACCAAUAGAUCGUGAUCUAAUGGUAGAUUUCCCAGCUGAUCCUGGUAGAUCACGGGAUCCUUAUUGUGUACAAAAAGUUAUGGGGAAAAAGCUAAAAAACUGUGCAAUCCUCCUCAAAAAAGCUCAACAACUCUGAGCAAUCCACCCACCCAAAACAUGCUCUUCCUCCUUCCAAUGACAAUGGGUAGAUCACUGCCAGUUUUUCUUAUACUGGGAGUAGAUCACAGUCUCAUGGGAGUUGGAUAUGCCUGCGUGACAUCAACAGGUUCCCAUCACUGUGUCUGAGAAGAACUGGAAGGAAGGAAGUCCAAGAGAGGCCUGGCUGAAAGGCUCAGCCUCUUUUCUUUGGCCCCACCCCUGGCCGGCCGGUCAUUGUCCUACCUGGCCGAGGGCGAGUCAAAGGCCAGCCUAAGCAGGUGGGUGGCACCCGCCCUGGUAUGCCCUGCUUGGUGCCGCAAACCCCGCCCACCUGUGUGGAAGGGAGGGCGGAAAAAAAUGACAUGGGGGGGGGAGAGAGAGAGACAGCCAAAAGACAGUUUGUGUAUGUGGUGAAUCACAUUAGUUAAUGAACUCCUGGGUUACAAAAUUAACUGGAAACAGAAAGCUACAACACCAGGCAAAGGGAUGGACACUACAACCAUUGUCCCUAAUAUGCUCUUUAAAAAAAGCCUGCAUGGAUUUUAUUAUUCUUAUUAAAUGUGGGAAGCAUUUAAAAGUGUAUCUCCCAUCUGAUACCAACCCUAUUAUUAAAGCAGAGGGAGGAGGCUGCCUCAGGCAGCUGAUUUUGAGGUCCAUGAAAGAGCAGUCACCAAAUUUAUUCUUACAUUUAUUUCCCAGGAGAGGUAUUUGUGGAAUUUUCUGUCUAAGGUGCCAAAAUGGCAUAGCCUUGGGUGUUAAUAGUACAGUAUACGCCUUGAACUGAGGAAGGGGGCACCAUUUGCUAUGGAGGAAAUGGGCCUUGUAUAUAGGGAAGCCCCAGGUUCAAAUGCCUGAUAUUUCUACUGUUAUAAGAGUUAAAAGGGGUCCUUUUCUGGGAGGGAGCCUGGACCUCUGGCAGAGCACAAUUGAAAGCCCUUACCAGCUACCGGUAGUAAAAUGGCAGAGACCAGACCAGAAUUCUAGUGAAAAGCAAGGCGGCUAGUUAAGCUUGAUCUUUAUUAAAAAUUGUUGCAACAGGGUGUUUCCCCCUCCCCACACACAGGAAGGUGGGGGAGAGACCCAGAACAAAGGUGUGCAAGCUCUUAUAUAGAAAAUUUUAAAUUGCCCGCCCUGGAGUCCAAGACCGCCCCCAGAAACAUCACAGAUACAUCACAGAAGAGGCGGUCUACAACAGAAAUCUGAGUGCAUUGUUUUUAUCAUGCCUGGCAGGUUACCUGUUAAUGGUCAUUUGACUGGAUUACCUGGGGAGCCUGGCCAGUCUUUUGUAAUGAUAAAUGCUUACCAGUAGUUCCUGAGCCAGGUCACAGGCUUACACCCUAUUCAUAUCUUAAAUGUGCCCUUAAGACAGGAUUUGUGAGGAAAGAGACAAUGGGGAGGUUUCCCACUUUGACCUUGCAGAGAAAUAAUUGAGGUCAAUUUGUUCAGGACUUUUUUUUUCUGUGAAGUUUCAGACAUGUGGUUUAUAUAUACAGUUAUGAACAUUUAUCUUUUAUAUAUAUGUGAUCUUAAAAUUCUUAUAACACUACUCAGAGAGGUAAAGGUAAAGGGACUCUGGACUUAAUGGUGUUAGCAAAGGCUGUUUAGAUAGUAGUGUAGUUUUACUUCAGUUACUUUAAGUGUAUCUCACAGGGGCCUCCCUCCUUUGAUGGUAAUGGCCCAUUUCACAUGCCACAGUAAACUGUAGUUAAUGGUUUACCCUAAACCCAAAGGUGGCUCCUGGUUCACUCCUUCCCUACUGCAAGCAAGGACAACGAUCCAAGAUUACUGGCUUUGAGUUACAUCCGAAUUGGGAAUAGGUAGUGGUUUGUUUUGCUCAGACAAACCAUGAUAGAUAAGCCAAGAGCAAUCCUUGACGGCCACAUUGGGGCUUGUUUGGAAUGAAAGAAGCCACAAUCCCCAGUUCAGAAACUGGGCUAAGCCAGUGAUUGAUUGCUCCUGCCUGAGCAAAAUGUAGAUCGAAAGGAGAGUGUGUUCACAGUUAGCCAUUGACUACUGUUUACCUUAUGUGUGAAUGUAGUCUUAUUCGCAUAAAACACUCAGACAAACCAUGCCUACAUGUAAAUGAGCAAGCAUGAACGAGCAAGAACAAACCUUGGAUACAGCUCAAGGAUUGUUUGGAGUGAGACAAACCAUGAGCCCAGGUUUGCACAUACAGUGGUGCCUUGAUUACCAAACGCAGCUUCUCCAACCUUUUGCUAAUUGCUAUAGACCAGGCACGUCCAACAGGUAGAUUGUGAUCUACCAGUAGAUCACUGGACAUCUGUGGUAGGUCACUGGGGGCCCCCAAGAAGCUCAACAAGUUUGGCUCCCCCCCAAAAAAGCUCAACAUUUUUGCCCUGGACCCCUAAAAAACGUGGCUUUCCCCUCCCUCCCUAUAAAAAGUUCAACAAUUUCAACCUGAACCGCCCAAGAAUGGGCCUUUCUCCUUCCUAAAAAAAAGCAAAAAAGCUCAUCAACUUUGACCUGAACCCCCCAAAAGGGGGUAGAUCACUGCCAGUUUUAACUCUGUGAGUAGAUCGCUAUCUCUUGGAAGUUGGCCACCCCUGCUAUAGACCAAGAGUGAGGAGCCUGUGCCCCCCCCCAUAUUAUCAGUCUCCAACUCCAAUCAGCUCCAGACAGUCAACCAAUGGUCAGGGUUGAUGGGAAUUGUGGUCCAGCAACAUCUGCAGGGCCAUCAAAUAUCUGAAAGGUCACACCUUCAGCACCUCUGUUCAAAAUGUUGGCAAUGAACCACCAGAAGGCAAAAGUUACUUUAAGUGUAUACGCAUAGCAGACAAAAAAUUUCCAGAAACCAAGACUGCUUUCGAUAAAUAGGAGCAGAGCACAUGCUUCAUUUUGUGAGUGAGUCCUGUUGCGUCACAGUCCUUGCCUCUAGGGGUGAGAGACAGUUGUUCCAGGAUGUUGUUUUGAAAAGCCUAGAGCCAACCCCCCCCAGCUGGGCUGAAUUGUCAGCAACUCAGAGCUGACCAUGAGUCAGUUAUUUGGAGCCGAGUCAAACCUGAGUAUCGAGGAACUAGUUUAUAUAGGAUGACAUGUUCCUUUACACAAUCAGCACACAACCCAGGUCACUGUGGAAGUCCAAGUGGGCUGUGUGCCAUCGUGCUCUGGGGAGGCUGUUGUGUGCGAGAGAACGAGGACGAGGGAGCCUUUCAAUGAGGAAAGGUGAGGCGGUUGCCUCAGGUGCUAGAUUCUGGGAGCCAUUAAGAGUGGCAGAAGGGGAGACAGAUCCUUCUUGAUCCACAUAAAGCAGCCACAGAAGCCUGCCAUUUUGAACAGAGGAGCUGUUGUUCGGGAGGGACUGCUCUUUCAUGCUAUUUUUUCUGUUCAUCAAUAUGGCUCCCAUGUUGGUUCCCCCCCUGCCUCUGGGUGCCAGGUGCAAAACUCUCAAAAAUGCAUCUGGAACCUUAUAAAUGCUGUGCACAUGUUGAAACGGUGCAAAGCUUACUGGAUGGCCUCGGGCCGUUCACUAUCUCUCAUAUUAACCCACCCCAUAGGUGUCUUUGGAAGACAGUGCAUGUGGACCAUGUAUGCCACAAUAGCACUUUGGAGGAAGUGCAGAAUCAGAAUAAAUAAGUUAUUUAAAAAAAAAAAACAUGCCAGGGACAUGAUAUCCUUCCCUUUU